RNAcentral lists this ribosomal RNA (495 nucleotides) under uncultured bacterium. RNAcentral describes it as "partial 16S ribosomal RNA". It matches the Rfam family "Bacterial small subunit ribosomal RNA", at positions 28 to 507 of the family's 1533-position model. The record is from RNAcentral.
GACGAACGCUGGCGGCGUGCCUAAUACAUGCAAGUAGAACGCUGAAGGAGGAGCUUGCUUCUCCGGAUGAGUUGCGCACGGGUGAGUAACGCGUAGGUAACCUGCCUGGUAGCGGGGGAUAACUAUUGGAAACGAUAGCUAAUACAGCAUAACAGUAGAUAUCGCAUGAUAUCUGCUUGAAAGGUGCAAUUUCAUCACUACCAGAUGGACCUGCGUUGUAUUAGCUAGUUGGUGAGGUAACGGCUCAACAAGGCGACGAUACAUAGCCGGCCCGGGAGGGGGAUCGGCCACAACGGGACUUGGACACGGGUCAGACUCCUAAGGGAGGGAGCAGGAGGGAAAUCUCGGCAAUGGACGGAAGUCUGACCGAGCAACGCCGGGGGAGGUAAGAAGGGUCUCGGAUUGGUAAGCUCUGUUGUAAGGGAAGAAAGAGUGUGAGAGUGGAAAGUUCACACUUUGACGGUACCUAAUCAGAAAGGGACGGCUAACUACGUG